This 447-nucleotide ribosomal RNA is filed under the name uncultured bacterium. Its description in RNAcentral is "partial 16S ribosomal RNA". It matches the Rfam family "Bacterial small subunit ribosomal RNA", at positions 29 to 507 of the family's 1533-position model. The record is from RNAcentral.
AACGAACGCUAUCGGUAUGCUUAACACAUGCAAGUCGGACGGACUAAUUAGGGCUUGCUCCAAUUAGUUAGUGGCAGACGGGUGAGUAACACGUGGGAAUCUGCCCAUCAGUACGGAAUAACUUUUAGAAAUAAAAGCUAAUACCGUAUAUUCUCUACAGAGGAAAGAUUUAUCGCUGAUGGAUGAGCCCGCGUCAGAUUAGGUAGUUGGUGAGGUAACGGCUCACCAAGCCGACGAUCUGUAGCUGGUCUGAGAGGAUGAUCAGCCACACUGGGACUGAGACACGGCCCAGACUCCUACGGGAGGCAGCAGUGGGGAAUAUUGGAAAAUGGGCGAAAGCCUGAUCCAGCAAUACCGAGUGAGUGAUAAAGGCCCUAGGGUUGUAAAGCUCUUUUAGCAAGGAAGAUAAUGACGUUACUUGCAGAAAAAGCCCCGGCUAACUCCGUG